AGGGAAACCGAGUCUUAAUUGGGCGUUAAGUUGCAGGGUAUAGACCCGAAACCCGGUGAUCUAGCCAUGGGCAGGUUGAAGGUUGGGUAACACUAACUGGAGGACCGAACCGACUAAUGUUGAAAAAUUAGCGGAUGACCUGUGGCUGGGGGUGAAAGGCCAAUCAAACCGGGAGAUAGCUGGUUCUCCCCGAAAGCUAUUUAGGUAGCGCCUCGUGAACUCAUCUCCGGGGGUAGAGCACUGUUUCGGCUAGGGGGCCAUCCCGGCUUACCAACCCGAUGCAAACUGCGAAUACCGGAGAAUGUUAUCACGGGAGACACACGGCGGGUGCUAACGUCCGUCGUGAAGAGGGAAACAACCCAGACCGCCAGCUAAGGUCCCAAAGUCAUGGUUAAGUGGGAAACGAUGUGGGAAGGCCCAGACAGCCAGGAUGUUGGCUUAGAAGCAGCCAUCAUUUAAAGAAAGCGUAAUAGCUCACUGGUCGAGUCGGCCUGCGCGGAAGAUGUAACGGGGCUAAACCAUGCACCGAAGCUGCGGCAGCGAACGUAUCACUUAAAGCGAUUCAGCGGGUUACGAUUGACGGAGCGAAGCGACGUCAAAGCGUAUACAAAGUCGAGUCGGUUUAAGGAUACGUUCGUUGGGUAGGGGAGCGUUCUGUAAGCCUGUGAAGGUGGCCUGUGAGGGUUGCUGGAGGUAUCAGAAGUGCGAAUGCUGACAUAAGUAACGAUAAAGCGGGUGAAAAGCCCGCUCGCCGGAAGACCAAGGGUUCCUGUCCAACGUUAAUCGGGGCAGGGUGAGUCGACCCCUAAGGCGAGGCCGAAAGGCGUAGUCGAUGGGAAACGGGUUAAUAUUCCCGUACUUGGUGUUACUGCGAAGGGGGGACGGAGAAGGCUAUGUUGGCCGGGCGACGGUUGUCCCGGUUUAAGCGUGUAGGUGUGUGUUCCAGGUAAAUCCGGUUCACUUUAACACUGAGGCGUGACGACGAGGCACUACGGUGCUGAAGCAACAAAUGCCCUGCUUCCAGGAAAAGCCUCUAAGCAUCAGGUAACAUCAAAUCGUACCCCAAACCGACACAGGUGGUCAGGUAGAGAAUACCAAGGCGCUUGAGAGAACUCGGGUGAAGGAACUAGGCAAAAUGGUGCCGUAACUUCGGGAGAAGGCACGCUGACACGUAGGUGAAGUGAUUUACUCAUGGAGCUGAAGUCAGUCGAAGAUACCAGCUGGCUGCAACUGUUUAUUAAAAACACAGCACUGUGCAAACACGAAAGUGGACGUAUACGGUGUGACGCCUGCCCGGUGCCGGAAGGUUAAUUGAUGGGGUCAGCGCAAGCGAAGCUCCUGAUCGAAGCCCCGGUAAACGGCGGCCGUAACUAUAACGGUCCUAAGGUAGCGAAAUUCCUUGUCGGGUAAGUUCCGACCUGCACGAAUGGCGUAAUGAUGGCCAGGCUGUCUCCACCCGAGACUCAGUGAAAUUGAACUCGCUGUGAAGAUGCAGUGUACCCGCGGCAAGACGGAAAGACCCCGUGAACCUUUACUAUAGCUUGACACUGAACAUUGAGCCUUGAUGUGUAGGAUAGGUGGGAGGCUUUGAAGUGUGGACGCCAGUCUGCAUGGAGCCGACCUUGAAAUACCACCCUUUAAUGUUUGAUGUUCUAACGUGGACCCGUUACCCGGGUUGCGGACAGUGUCUGGUGGGUAGUUUGACUGGGGCGGUCUCCUCCUAAAGAGUAACGGAGGAGCACGAAGGUUGGCUAAUCCUGGUCGGACAUCAGGAGGUUAGUGCAAUGGCAUAAGCCAGCUUGACUGCGAGCGUGACGGCGCGAGCAGGUGCGAAAGCAGGUCAUAGUGAUCCGGUGGUUCUGAAUGGAAGGGCCAUCGCUCAACGGAUAAAAGGUACUCCGGGGAUAACAGGCUGAUACCGCCCAAGAGUUCAUAUCGACGGCGGUGUUUGGCACCUCGAUGUCGGCUCAUCACAUCCUGGGGCUGAAGUAGGUCCCAAGGGUAUGGCUGUUCGCCAUUUAAAGUGGUACGCGAGCUGGGUUUAGAACGUCGUGAGACAGUUCGGUCCCUAUCUGCCGUGGGCGCUGGAGAACUGAGGGGGGCUGCUCCUAGUACGAGAGGACCGGAGUGGACGCAUCACUGGUGUUCGGGUUGUCAUGCCAAUGGCACUGCCCGGUAGCUAAAUGCGGAAGAGAUAAGUGCUGAAAGCAUCUAAGCACGAAACUUGCCCCGAGAUGAGUUCUCCCUGAGACUUAGAGUCUCCUGAAGGAACGUUGAAGACGACGACGUUGAUAGGCCGGGUGUGUAAGCGCAGCGAUGCGUUGAGCUAACCGGUACUAAUGAACCGUGAGGCUUAACCUUACAACGCCGAAG
Molecule: ribosomal RNA, 2373 nt
Filed under: Salmonella enterica subsp. enterica serovar Kentucky
Lineage: Bacteria; Pseudomonadati; Pseudomonadota; Gammaproteobacteria; Enterobacterales; Enterobacteriaceae
Description: partial 23S ribosomal RNA
Rfam family: Bacterial large subunit ribosomal RNA
Source: RNAcentral